Molecule: long non-coding RNA, 332 nt
Organism: Dermacentor silvarum
Lineage: Eukaryota; Metazoa; Arthropoda; Arachnida; Ixodida; Ixodidae
Exons: 3
Source: RefSeq, a predicted model, not a curated record
UCAAGUUGAUGUUGUACUGAGAUUCAGCAUAAAAGACAGCAAGUCAAUACUGAGAGUUGAAACAACGGGUUCUAAUGAGCUUAUAGCGAAGAUUGGAGGAGCCUACGAAAUUGUACAAGCUUCAAGUAGUUGUUUUGUACUGCGCGGUCCCCAACAUUUAGGUGAUAGUGGCAUUUGUACUGUGUGGGUCCCACAAAACGCUGUCCACCUAGAACACACUGAAUGCAUAAGUGCAUUUAAAUCGCAGUGCCAGGGUACCGACAGCUGUCUAAGUAAACGGCAGUCGUGAGUUCUGGAAUACAUUUUAAGCCCCGGAAUGAGACUAUUGAGUG